GGACCUAUAGCUCAACGUUAGAGCAACCGGCUCAUAACCGGUUGGCUACUGGUUCGAAUCCAGUUAGGUCCACCA
Molecule: transfer RNA, 75 nt
Filed under: Mycoplasmopsis agalactiae
Lineage: Bacteria; Bacillati; Mycoplasmatota; Mycoplasmoidales; Metamycoplasmataceae
Description: tRNA-Ile
Rfam family: tRNA
About the family: Transfer RNA (tRNA) molecules are approximately 80 nucleotides in length. Their secondary structure includes four short double-helical elements and three loops (D, anti-codon, and T loops).
Source: RNAcentral